AACGAACGCUGGCGGCAUGCCUAACACAUGCCAGUCGAACGAGACCUUCGGGUCUAGUGGCGCACGGGUGCGUAACGCGUGGGAACCUGCCCUUAGGUUCGGAAUAACUCCCCGAAAGGGGUGCUAAUACCGGAUAAUGUCUUCGGACCAAAGAUUUAUCGCCUUUGGAUGGGCCCGCGUUGGAUUAGCUAGUUGGUAGGGUAAAAGCCUACCAAGGCGACGAUCCAUAGCUGGUCUGAGAGGAUGAUCAGCCACACUGGGACCGAGACACGGCCCAGACUCCUACGGGAGGCAGCAGUGGGGAAUAUUGGACAAUGGGCGAAAGCCUGAUCCAGCAAUGCCGCGUGAGUGAUGAAGGCCUUAGGGUUGUAAAGCUCUUUUACCCGGGAUGAUAAUGACAGUACCGGGAGAAUAAGCUCCGGCUAACUCCGUG
This 433-nucleotide ribosomal RNA is filed under the name uncultured bacterium. RNAcentral's name for it is "partial 16S ribosomal RNA". It matches the Rfam family "Bacterial small subunit ribosomal RNA", at positions 29 to 507 of the family's 1533-position model. The record is from RNAcentral.